Molecule: ribosomal RNA, 1145 nt
Filed under: Klebsiella sp.
Lineage: Bacteria; Pseudomonadati; Pseudomonadota; Gammaproteobacteria; Enterobacterales; Enterobacteriaceae
Description: bacterial SSU rRNA
Source: RNAcentral
GUCGAGCGGUAGCACAGAGAGCUUGCUCUCGGGUGACGAGCGGCGGACGGGUGAGUAAUGUCUGGGAAACUGCCUGAUGGAGGGGGAUAACUACUGGAAACGGUAGCUAAUACCGCAUAACGUCGCAAGACCAAAGUGGGGGACCUUCGGGCCUCAUGCCAUCAGAUGUGCCCAGAUGGGAUUAGCUAGUAGGUGGGGUAAUGGCUCACCUAGGCGACGAUCCCUAGCUGGUCUGAGAGGAUGACCAGCCACACUGGAACUGAGACACGGUCCAGACUCCUACGGGAGGCAGCAGUGGGGAAUAUUGCACAAUGGGCGCAAGCCUGAUGCAGCCAUGCCGCGUGUAUGAAGAAGGCCUUCGGGUUGUAAAGUACUUUCAGCGAGGAGGAAGGCGYYAAGGUUAAUAACCUUGGUGAUUGACGUUACUCGCAGAAGAAGCACCGGCUAACUCCGUGCCAGCAGCCGCGGUAAUACGGAGGGUGCAAGCGUUAAUCGGAAUUACUGGGCGUAAAGCGCACGCAGGCGGUCUGUCAAGUCGGAUGUGAAAUCCCCGGGCUCAACCUGGGAACUGCAUUCGAAACUGGCAGGCUAGAGUCUUGUAGAGGGGGGUAGAAUUCCAGGUGUAGCGGUGAAAUGCGUAGAGAUCUGGAGGAAUACCGGUGGCGAAGGCGGCCCCCUGGACAAAGACUGACGCUCAGGUGCGAAAGCGUGGGGAGCAAACAGGAUUAGAUACCCUGGUAGUCCACGCCGUAAACGAUGUCGACUUGGAGGUUGUGCCCUUGAGGCGUGGCUUCCGGAGCUAACGCGUUAAGUCGACCGCCUGGGGAGUACGGCCGCAAGGUUAAAACUCAAAUGAAUUGACGGGGGCCCGCACAAGCGGUGGAGCAUGUGGUUUAAUUCGAUGCAACGCGAAGAACCUUACCUACUCUUGACAUCCAGAGAACUUAGCAGAGAUGCUUUGGUGCCUUCGGGAACUCUGAGACAGGUGCUGCAUGGCUGUCGUCAGCUCGUGUUGUGAAAUGUUGGGUUAAGUCCCGCAACGAGCGCAACCCUUAUCCUUUGUUGCCAGCGGUCCGGCCGGGAACUCAAAGGAGACUGCCAGUGAUAAACUGGAGGAAGGUGGGGAUGACGUCAAGUCAUCAUGG